GACGAACGCUGGCGGCGUGCCUAACACAUGCAAGUCGAACGGAGAUGUUGAUUUCGGUUGACGUCUUAGUGGCGAACGGUGAGUAACGCGUGAACAAUCUGACCUUAAGAGGGGAUAACAACGAGAAAUCGUUGCUAAUACCGCAUAAGACCACAAUGCCGCAUGGCGAAGGGGUCAAAGGAGCAAUCCGCUUAAGGAGGGGUUCGCGUCCCAUUAGGUAGUAGGUGAGGUAACGGCCCACCUAGCCGACGAUGGGUAGCCGAGCUGAGAGGCUGAUCGGCCACACUGGAACUGAGACACGGUCCAGACUCCUACGGGAGGCAGCAGUGGGGAAUAUUGGGCAAUGGGCGCAAGCCUGACCCAGCAACGCCGCGUGAGGGAAGAAGGUUUUCGGAUUGUAAACCUCUGUCGCAGAUGACGAAACAAAUGACGGUAAUCUGUGAGGAAGCCCCGGCUAACUACGUGCCAGCAGCCGCGGUAAU
This 482-nucleotide ribosomal RNA is filed under the name uncultured bacterium. RNAcentral describes it as "bacterial SSU rRNA". It matches the Rfam family "Bacterial small subunit ribosomal RNA", at positions 28 to 524 of the family's 1533-position model. The record is from RNAcentral.